GAGCCCAAGGUAUAUAUUCAUGGAUAUACAAGAAUCAAGGAUAUUAUGCAAAUAAAUUGGCCAGGAUGCUCUUGAAUAAUUUGAUAAGAGGUAAUGAGGAAGAGAACCUUUCAAAUGAAUGAGACCCAUGCUUAGUGAAGCUGCAAAGUUAGCAAGAACACUAACAGAUCCCUUCCCUCGUUAAGUUAAUGCAGUACUUGUUUGUGAGUGAGGUGCUUCAUCCAACUGCUGCAUUGCUUGGAAUAGUAUAAUAUGUGGAUUUUUUUU
RNAcentral lists this unclassified non-coding RNA (267 nucleotides) under Hevea brasiliensis (rubber tree). The record is from RNAcentral. Lineage: Eukaryota; Viridiplantae; Streptophyta; Magnoliopsida; Malpighiales; Euphorbiaceae.